UAAAGGAAGGGAAGGGAAGGAAAUGAAGGGAAGGUAAAAGAAAGGAAGGGAAGGGAAGGGAAAGGAAGGGAAGGGAAGGGAAGGGACAGGAAGGGAAGGUAAGGGAGAGGAAGGAAGGGUUCGGGAAGGUAAGGAAAGGUAAGAAUAUGGAAGAAAAGGUAAGGGAAAGAAAUGGAAGGUAAGGGAAGGGAAUGGAAGGAAAGGUAAGGGAAAGGAAGGAAAGGGAAUGGGAAGGAUGGGAAGGUUAGGGAAGGGUAAGGAAAGGUAAGAAUAGGGGAGAAAGGGUACAAAAGAUUGAGAACUGGCUUGAGUAGACUCCGUAUGUUUUGCUAACCAUCUUUAUGUAUGUAUGAUUGUAUAUAAGUAUGUAUGUAUGUAUGUAUGUAUGUUUUUUUUACAGCAAAGGAAGCAGCUCAAGGGGGAAAAAAAUAACCCCGCUAAUCACUGCCUCUAACCAUGUAUGUAUGAGUGAGUAUGUGCGUGUCUGGCAUUCAAGUCCUCGGUACAAAUUUUCCUGAAUAGAGUAUGAUUUUUACGAUGACUAGUAGUGGCUGUUGACGCCGUGACUGUCCCUAAGGGUGCAGCUGGGGGCUUGUUUCAUCCUCGCUGCAUAGUCAGAAAAAAACACACCUUGUACAGCUCACAUGUUUAUGGCGACACCCGAGCUGCUAGAGAGAAAUUUAGUAGCACGGUAUCUCCGGCGAGGUGGGAAACUACGAUGUACGGUAAUGCCUUGGACUAAAUGUGGACUGCCGGGUUGGUUUUAUUCUGGAAAGAUCUUACUCGUUCUGAUUUUAGGCUGCGAGAAAUGUGAUCAACGAAACCCGGAAUUUUGUUGACUUUCCUCGUUAGUUUUGUUAGUUCGUGACGUCCCGAGACCGACUGACUGUUGUUUAGGAGGGCGCCCAGACGCUUGGCCCGCGCUUGAGUCUACCUUGCACAGACCAUGUUCUUUAUUUUAAUUUCACUGAUACUUAUUUUACUAGUCUUGUUUUAUUCAUUUAUUUUACUGUUUAUUUAUUUUAACCUCUUUUAUAUUCCAUUUUCAUUCACUUUUUUAUUAUCUUCUAAUUUUAUUCAUUUAUUUAUCUAUUUAUUUACUAAUUUAUUUUUACUAUUUUUUAUUUGUCUAUUUAUCUACUUAUUUAUUUACCUAUUUAAGCUUCUUUUGUAUUCUAGUUCCAUUACUUUUCUUUUAUUGUCUUUCUUUCUUUGUCUAUUUAUUUAUCUGUCUAUCUGUUGACUUAUUUUGAUUAUUCUGUGUUUUGCUUUGAAUCGCGUUGUGCCACGUUGUUUAUUGUACAGUGAGAGAAAACACAGCAUAUACUCCAUUAAAAAAAAAUGUCCCCCGCACAAUCCUGCACUAACAGAGAAAGCAUGCCAAACGGGAGCAUUAUCAUAUUUAGAUUUCAAGCCGCCAUCAAGUGCUGCGUUGCAAUAUACGGUGCUACGCCAUAGUGACUUUCCCCGGCGAGGUGUACGUAUAUUCAUAUUAUUAAACCCUCAUUCCCCUCUUUUCCCGGCACAGUCCCUCGGAGGUCCCGCGCGGCGCUGCACCUCUCACGCACACACCUCGCCUCGACCUCCAGCCUCAGCGUCGCCAGCGAUAAACUUGAAGACACAACAACGACGCUACAGAGAGUCUGAGACGGACCGAUGGCUUUACGUAACACCGAAGAGAGAGAGAGAGAGAGAGAGAGAGAGAGAGAGAGAGAGAGAGAGAGAGAGAGAGAGAGAGAGAGAGAGAGAGAGAGAGAGAGAGAGAGAGAGAGAGAGAGAGAGAGAGAAAGAGAGAGAGCAGAUUUUUUCAACGUGGUAUAACUUAGUAAUCAUUAACGGCUAUAUAUGUAGGUAGUCUGGCAUUUUUUAUUCUUUUUAGGGACGGGAGUUCGAUAUAAGUGAUGAAUUUUCAGAGUCAAGACGACGUAUAAAAAACUCAUUCGUAAAAAGCGAUAUAAAUAAAUAAAAAAAAUCAACAAAACCAAGUAACUACGCCUUGAAAAAUGGGUCAAAAUGGAUAAAUCAGCCACAGUAUUUUUUAUAAAGACUGUUACCACGUUCAAAAAAUCAAGUGAGUGUGUGUGUGUGUGCGUGAGUGAAAGGACAGAAAGGGACAGAAGCAGCCAGCGGGUGAGCGGGUCCCCUGACGGGCGGGAUGGUUGGCUGCUGGCUCGCCGGGCACAAACGUGUUGGCGGUGCCGGUGCCUUAAAAGAAUAAAUAACCGGCAGACUAAGGGAAAGAGGCGUGCCAGGGGUUGUUACUGUCCUCUAGCCUCCGACCCAGAGAGAGAGAGAGAGAGAGAGAGAGAGAGAGAGAGAGAAAGCAAGCACGUCCCUCUUAUCUUACUCUAGAGCUCCCAAGUUAGUUACAGAGCAAGUUUAAAGGUUAGCGCCGUGCACGUGUUUAGGCUUUUGCGCGCCACAACGAGCCAAGAUUGCCGUGCAGGUCAUCGCUCGCCCGCAUCACGCCGCCCCUGAGUCACGGUUUGAGAUUUACUGCCAUAUAAAACAGAGAUAAAAUAAACUAUAAUGUGUCUCUUCCCCUGAGCCACUUGUUUGAGAUUUACUAAUAUAUAUUAACAAGAAAAAAGAAGCUAUGAUGUGCCACCCCUUCCCUUGUGCCACUUGUUCGAGCUUCACUGAUAUAUAAAACACAGAAAAAAGUAUAUAUUAAACUAUGAUGUGUCCCUUUCCUUGAGCUACUUGUACGAGCUUCACUGAUAUAUAAAACACAGAAAAAAGUAUAUAAAUUAUGAUGUGUCCCUUCCUUGAGCCACUUGUUCGAGAUUUACUAACAUAUAAAAAACGAAAAAUAAAUAUAUCCAUGAGGAGUCGCCCCGUCCUUUGAGCCAUUCACUGAGAUUUACGAGUAUAAAAAGCGAAGGAGAAAUAGAAACUUUGCUGGGUCACCCCUUCUCCUAACCCACGACUCAACACUUAUUGGCAUACAAAGCAAAACAAAAUUAAGCCUAUAAUUAGUGUGGUAUUGUCUGAGUAUAGUGUUUUCAAUUUUAGCUUAGUUUAGUUUUUACCCUUGAGUUCAACGUUACCAGAUCAUCGUACUCAGCCUCGUAUAUUUACCAACCUCCGACCCAGAAACUGUCUCCUGGGCCCCAAUAACGAGAGUCCUUUAUGUUUAUCGUUAAAAAUAGUUAAUUCCUGAUGUUUCUUGGCAAUAGUUAGGCGUCAAAAUCCGGUCAAUACUAUGCCGUGAGUACGAUAAUCUGGCAACGGUGCUUGAGCUGUCGCCUUGACUGUACAAAAUAGGUACGCGAGUCACAAGUCUGAAUUCUGAACAAAACGAAAAAUCAAAAGAUGGAGUAUUGCAACUGAAUAUUGACUGAGGCGAUUCGAAGAAGGGACUCAUUAAAAGGUGUGUUGACAAAAUAAAAUAAAAACAAACCUCUCAUUAGUGUGGCAUUGGCGAGAACGACUGAGGAGACGUAAAAGCCGCAUUAUCAAAGAUGUUGGUGAAUAAAAAUUAAAUAAAUAAACCGAUAAGAGGCGUGGCAUUGGCAAGAAGUAGUAUUGAAAACAGACGUAAAGGUUUGCGGAUAAAAUGAAAUAAAAAUAAACCGCUAAUGGGUGUGGGUGGCAUUGGCAGGAAAUAUAUUGAAGCGAGACGUGAAGGCCGCCUCGUGAAAAGGUGUGUUAGUGUAUAUUUGGGGAUCGCAGGGACUACUUAUGUAACUUAUCUCGAUGGGCGCCUUUAAACACACAUGUACACAGGGCCGUAAUUUCUGGGGGGUUAGGGGGGAUAUAGCUUCCCAAUGUUUUCUAUAUCGGUCUCAAAAUCCCUCUAAAAGUGCUUAUUAUUCAAAACGAUUUCACCCCCCUUGCGCAUGCUCGCUUUGCCCCCCUCCCCUCCCCUCCUCCCCUCAUGAACCUAUGUUACUCUCUAGCCCUACAAAAAAUCGUCCAAAAUUACGGGUCUGAAUUACAAGCCAGAAAUUCCUACGAGAGGAGUUCUAACAACCUUUGCUGAAGCGGUUUCAUAAGGGUCACGUUGGUCGUUCUAAGCUAUCUUAAAAGGAGGAAAACACUACUUCUAACGGGAAAUGUAUAUACGAAGAAAAGGGGAAAAAUCAACUUACACGACUGAUUGUGAGAUAAAAGAAAAUAAUGUCGUGAUUUAAUUAUGUGUUGGCUUAUAUUUUUUUACUGGCUACUGAAUUCUGUGGACCAUAUAGGGAUCAUGCUUUUAUGUGGGAGUAAGCAAUGUCGCAGUCCCAAAUAUUCUCGAUCCUACGAAGAUUAGUGGCCAUGAGAUGCGCGUCCAUUCGUAAAGUGACUCAAUAACCCGUUUUUUUGUUUUUUUUUCAGGAGACAGCACAAGGCCACAAAGUAAAGGAAACAACAAUUAAAAAAAUAAGCCCGCUACUCGCUGCUCCUGUAAAGAACCCGAAGAGGUGGCCGAAAGAGCAGUCAGUUACGCGAUUCCCAUGUUCCCCUGUUUGAAAAGCCUCUCGUGGAAACUGCUGGAAUUUUCAUGGACUAUUUUGUGACGCCAGUGAUAGUCUUACACGGCUUCUGCAUCUUGAAUGGAAACAAAACACCCAUGAAAACCCGGUUAAUCUUCUCUGUGGCCUUGGAUAAUAGUCGUAGUGGUAGACCGAUACGUUUGAGAAUACGGACCAAUGACCUGACAGAGCAUUUGACUCCACUGAACCGCGUGUACAAACAAAACAGUCUGAGGGGAAGCCUUAUCAGAGGACACAAUGCAAGCCAAGUGAGGACGAUUCGGAGAGGAAGGGCGAAAAGAGUGCGUGUGUGGGGAGGGAGGGGUAAAGAGGCAGGCAGGCAGGAAGGAAGGACGAAGGCGGAGGAGGAAGAAGGAAGAGCGCGCAGGAGGCCAACAAUACCCAAGGUUGGUUAGUCAGCCCACGAAAGAAAACGAGCCGCGGCACAACAACGCCACUCGAGAGAAAACUUCAGACGCGAGAGAUGCCAGGGCCGACUCUUCUAUUCUAGGAAGCCUCACGUUGUUGCCUAAUUCUCUUUCUCUUCUCUUUGUAUUCGUUCAUCAUUGUAAAUACGAACAACAGCAGCACAAAAGGGAUAAGGUCAGUGCCUGCCGUUCGCCCCACGGACAGUGAAAACAGAUAUACGGAUACAUAGAAAAAUAAACAUUACUUAAUUCUCUGGUUUUAUUUCAUCCGGAUGUAUUGCUUUCUUUAUUUUUUUAGAGGCUAGGAGGCAGCUCAAGGGCAAAUAAUAAAAAAAAAGAGGAAACGAAAAAAAAAAAAAAUGUCUCUAACAUACACAUUGCAGAAUCUUCUUUACAACGCUCACAAUAGACAACUUACUAAAUCAGACGUCCCUUUACUAUUUUUCAAGAUCAUGACAGUUAAUAACCAAGAUUGCGAAGAGGAAACUACUGUCUUUCGUCUUGCUACUGACAGGCUGACAGGGAAAGGAAAAAGAGCAUUGGAAGUGGUGGUGGUGGUGGUGGUGGUGGAAGUACCCGUUUUUAACAGACAAGAUCUCGUAAGUGUGUGUUCCGUGACCUUUCUGAGAGCAUGACUGGCUCCCUCUUCCUCAACUCCCUCCCCCUUCUCCCCCCCCCCCUCCCCCAAGCGAGCUGCGUUACUUCCUGUGUCGUAAAUAUACCUUCUGCUCUGUUUCACUUUUACUUUUCUUUUUGUUUUUAAAUACGUAUGUGUAAGGAUACCGACAGUCUGCCUGAUUGACGUGUAUACAUGUAGUGGGGAGAGUAAAAUGCAUAGUAGUAGUAGUAGUAGUAGUAGUCGCAACAUUGGGCGGUGAAAAAAAAGACCGAGAAAAAAAUACUAAUGAUAAAAUUAAUGAAAAAUAACUAAAUAAAGAAGAAAAAGAAGAAGAAGAAGGCACCCAGUAAUCACCCACAUAAAAAUCAGAUAAAAAAUAAUAUAUGAAAAUCGUAAUUACUUCCUACUUUGAAUAGAAAAAAAAAACAUUCACACAAACACACACCCUCUCUAACAACUCACCCCCAAGACCGAACAAACAACUAAGCAAGCAAAACAACAACAAACACAACACAACACAACCACGCACCUGCCACACAACACACACAACACACACCAACACACGUGAACCAGCACUAAAGAAACACCAGGUAAGAGGAACGAAACACGGCUCAUUAGGCAAAGGUAACUCGACAGACCACAAAGCGCUCCCGUCCAGGUGUGUGAGUGUAAGCCAAUCAGUACUCACGGGACUCAACAGGUGAAGGCCGUGAGUCAGGUGAUGUUGCGUGACCCACUUUUAUGAGUAGUGCGGAGGUGAAGGUGAGCGGGUCAGGGUGGGGUGCUUGGGAGGGUGGAGGAAGGGAGAGGAGGAGGAAGGGAUGUGGGAGGUGGUAGGUAGGGAGGAGUAAAGAGGAAGGAGAGAAGUAAAGCGAGGUGAGGAAGAGACAGAGAGACAAAAAGACAGAAAGACAGAGACAGGAGAGAUAAGACAUUGACGAGGGAGAUAAUUAUAAGGUAAGGAAGUGAGGAAGGAGUGUGUCACGGAAGAUAAUGACGAGGAAAGAAAGGACACAGGAAAAAGAGGAAACAGUGUAAGAGAAAAUGAGGGUUUGGUUGGGUACGACAGCUCAUUAAGUUAAAAAGGCAGAAAGAGAAAACAAAAGUGAAAAGGAGGAAGGUGAGGAAGACGCGGAAGGAAUGUUGUCUGCCACGAGAAAGAAAAUGAGGAGGAAGUGAACAAAAGGGAAAAAAAUGAUGAGUUGAAGGUUUGAGUAAAAACGUGUCAUUAAAAGAGAGAAAAAGAGGAAAACAACAUAAUCAUCACGCAAGAAAGAGGAAGUUUAAGCUGAAGAAAAAAAAGAGUGACACUGAACAAUUAAUGAAUGCAAAAAUAGACAUGGAGCAGAAAAGAAAAAAAAGUUAAAUGGAACGUAAAAGAAAAUCAUGAAUACUUUACGAACAGUUUCCAGCACCGAAUUUAUAAACUAUACGAACAUUUACUUUAUAUUUACUUAACAUUUACAUUAUUUUACUUAACAAGCAUUUACUUUACAUUUACUUUACUUUAUAAAUAUUUACUUUAUUUUCCCAUCUACUUUACAUUACUAUACAACAUUUGCUUUACAUUUACUUUACUUUACAUUUAGAAACAUUUAUUUUACUUUUACCUUACUUUACAUACAUUUACUUUACUUUUCAGACAUUUUCCAGCACCGAGUCCACUUUUAAAUCCACUCCAUAAAGAUCAACACAAAAGGAUUCCGAAUCUCCUGAAGCCGGUUUGAGUUCGCUGCUGUGGAUUCCUCGCCUCUGUGUUUCUUUAGCUUCGUGUAAGUCUUCCGCUCUAAGGCCUCGACGUUCUCUCUCUCUCUCUCUCUCUCUCUCUCUCUCUCUCUCUCUCUCUCUCUCUCUCUCUCUCUCUCUCUCUGACCUUGCCCAUUCAAUAGUAGGCAUAGCGAAGGUUUUGAAACGGCUGGUAACAAAGGGACACACACACACACACACACACACACACACACACACACACACACACACACACACACACACACACAGAGACCCACACACACACACACACACACACACGCUGCCCUUUUCUUCCUCUCCUCUCUCUUCCCUUUCCCUUCCCCCUUUUUUUCUCUUCCAUUUCUUCUUUAGCCCCCUUUUUCCUCCCCCUCCCUUUCCUUACCUUCCUUCCCUCUCUUCCCUUUCCUCCCUUCCUCUUUCUUUUCUCUUCCCUUCCCUUCUUUCCCUUACCUAACACUCCCUCUCUCUUUCUCUCUCUUCCCAUUCCCUCUCCUUCCCUUCCCUACCUCCCUCUAUCUCUCCUCUCCUUUCCUACCUCCCACUUAUCUACCCUACCUCCUUCCUUCUCUCCUCACCUUCCCUCCCUUACCUUUCCUCCCCUUCUUCCCUUCUCCGUUGCACUCGUAAGCGUUCCCUACUUGCGGUGUAACUUACCCUCCCGAGUAGAGAUUUUUAUUUUGUUUGUUUGUUUGUGGGGAAUGAAUGGACGCGACUUGAGUUCUUUAAGAUGUAGAGAUGAGGGUAGUCUGUCUGUCUGUCUGUCUGUCUGUCUGCCUGUCUUUCUAUCCAUCUAUCUCCUUUCUUUUGUUAGUUAUAAUCAUUUAUAUUCUAUUAGUGUUAAAGAUAUAUGAAAGUGAGCAGAAUCAAGGUAAAAUUACAGACUAGUUAAAAGAUGUAGAGUUGAGGGUAGUCUGUCUCUCUGUCUGCCUGUCUCUCUGUCUUUCUAUCCAUCUAUCUCCUUUCUUUUGUUAGUUAUCAUCAUAUAUAUUCCAUUACCGUGUUAAAGACAUAAAAGUGAGCAGAAUCAAGGUAAAAUUAUAGACUAGUUAAACCGGCGAAUAGAUAAACAGACAGAGAUAGAUUGACAGGAAGCUAACUAAUAGAUAAAUCCAGGUAAAAAUAAAAAGACAGCUACAUAGAUAUAGAGAUGAAUAUAUAAAAUGAUUGACCAAUAAAUAGAUAUAAUAUGUGAGAUAGAUAGAAAAAUAUUGAUAGAUUGAUGAAUAGAUAGAAACAUAGAUAUAGAUAGGAAUAGAGACGAACAUUUUUUAAGACUGAUUGAAGAUGAAAUACAAGAAAUGGAUAAAUAACAAAUAACUGACCACAUGAACACACACAAAAAAAGUAAACAAAACAACAAAAUAAAUAAAUAAAUACAAAAAUAAGUUAGAAAAUAAAACCGCCUUUGUCUUCCUUUCCCCCCCUCGCAGUGUACGUUAUCCGUUUACCUGAGUGAGUCUGUCUGUCUGCCUACCUGGGCGCACCUGUGUAUUCAUGUGUCUGUCUUCGUGUUUGCUCACCUGUCUGUUUGUGUUGUUCAAUUGUUCACCUGCUGUUCCGUUAUUCUGCUCUUAAUCUAUCUAUCUAUCUAUCUAUCUAUCUGUCUAUCUAUCUAUCUAUCUGUCUAUAUAUCUUUUUAUUUGUGUAUUUACUUGAGGGGUCGUGUCUCUCUCUCUCUCUCUCUCUCUCUCUCUCUCUCUCUCUCUCUCUCUCUCUCUCUCUCUCUCUCUCUCUCUCUCUCACACACACACACACACACACACACACACAA
Eriocheir sinensis (Chinese mitten crab) is the source of this 9024-nucleotide long non-coding RNA. RefSeq lists it as uncharacterized. The transcript has 2 exons. Lineage: Eukaryota; Metazoa; Arthropoda; Malacostraca; Decapoda; Varunidae. The record is from RefSeq and is a predicted model, not a curated record.